AACAAUUCAUGCCUGGAUCCAAGCUGCUUCUCCUCCCAGGAACUUCAAAUGUAUCUCCCCACCUGGAGUGCUUUCUGCUGCUCUCCAUGCUCGUUUUCAAUUCAGGGCGGAGGGAUCAUGAAAUGCUGAGAUUUCCAGCACCGAGGUCUAGCGAUGACACGCUGUGAAACUGUCUCCACAUCAACCCGAAGCCAGCAGGCUCCCAGCCGUCCUUAGGCUUGUCAGAAGCAGGAACCCUAAUGAAAACACCUUGGCAGAUGCACCAUAAAAAGAAAC
RNAcentral lists this long non-coding RNA (276 nucleotides) under Homo sapiens (human). Its description in RNAcentral is "HSALNT0180205". Lineage: Eukaryota; Metazoa; Chordata; Mammalia; Primates; Hominidae. The record is from RNAcentral.